GAAGGUCACGGCGAGACGAGCCGUUUAUCAUUACGAUAGGUGUCAAGUGGAAGUGCAGUGAUGUAUGCAGCUGAGGCAUCCUAACAGACCAUAUAGACUUGAAC
RNAcentral lists this ribosomal RNA (104 nucleotides) under Lobelia heterophylla subsp. heterophylla. RNAcentral describes it as "4.5S ribosomal RNA". Lineage: Eukaryota; Viridiplantae; Streptophyta; Magnoliopsida; Asterales; Campanulaceae. The record is from RNAcentral.